This 72-nucleotide transfer RNA is filed under the name Camelus bactrianus (Bactrian camel). It matches the Rfam family "tRNA". From Rfam's summary of the family: Transfer RNA (tRNA) molecules are approximately 80 nucleotides in length. Their secondary structure includes four short double-helical elements and three loops (D, anti-codon, and T loops). Lineage: Eukaryota; Metazoa; Chordata; Mammalia; Artiodactyla; Camelidae. The record is from Rfam by way of RNAcentral. RNAcentral also lists the same sequence under 1 other name.
GAGGGUAUAGCUCAGUGGAAGAGUGCAUGCUUAGCAUGCAUGAGGUCCUGGGUUCAAUCCCUGGUACCUCCA